AUUGAGCGCUGGCGGCAUGCCUUACACAUGCAAGUCGAACGGCAGCGGGGGAGAAGCUUGCUUUUCCUGCCGGCGAGUGGCGAACGGGUGAGUAAUACAUCGGAACGUGCCCUGUAGUGGGGGAUAACUAGUCGAAAGAUUAGCUAAUACCGCAUACGACCUGAGGGUGAAAGUGGGGGACCGCAAGGCCUCAUGCUAUAGGAGCGGCCGAUGUCUGAUUAGCUAGUUGGUGGGGUAAAGGCCUACCAGGGCGACGAUCAGUAGCUGGGCUGAGAGGACGAUCAGCCACACUGGGACUGAGACACGGCCCAGACUCCUACGGGAGGCAGCAGUGGGGAAUUUUGGACAAUGGGCGAAAGCCUGAUCCAGCAAUGCCGCGUGUGUGAAGAAGGCCUUCGGGUUGUAAAGCACUUUUGUCCGGAAAGAAAUGGCUCUGGUUAAUACCUGGGGUCGAUGACGGUACCGGAAGAAUAAGGACCGGCUAACUACGUGCCAGCAGCCGCCGUAA
Molecule: ribosomal RNA, 508 nt
Filed under: uncultured bacterium
Lineage: Bacteria
Description: partial 16S ribosomal RNA
Rfam family: Bacterial small subunit ribosomal RNA
Source: RNAcentral